RNAcentral lists this long non-coding RNA (7452 nucleotides) under Trifolium pratense (red clover). Its description in RNAcentral is "long non-coding RNA (TPRA_LNC000980)". Lineage: Eukaryota; Viridiplantae; Streptophyta; Magnoliopsida; Fabales; Fabaceae. The record is from RNAcentral.
CAAAAUUUCAAUCAUUUAUUAGUAUGCAUAUCGCAGCUGACAUCACAAAUACACAAGGAAAAAGUUACCAUGUAUAUGGGCACUGUCUCCAUAUGUUUGAGAAUGCACAAAUGGUUGUGUAGAAACAAUCAUUCUUGACUAAUCCAGGAAGUCCUCAUUCCAUUUGGAAGAGAACUCAGCUGUAGGGUGACAUCACUGACUGUAUGAUUAUAAGAGUUAAAUGAAUUGCAACUGUGUUCAGAAAAUUCAGAUACAAACAAUUUUUUUUGGGGGAAAUAACUAUUAGCUAAUACCUGAUAGCACACAAUUAUGUCUAAGCAAAGUUGCAGCAUUUCAUAUUCGCCCUAAACCCUACAUAUUGACGAUCAAAGGUAUAACGUUAAUCACAUAGCCACAUGUCAUGUGGCACAAUCCCCGUGGUCUCACUAUCACACUAGUGAAAAGUCACAAGAGCAACAGUAUAUGCCAGUAAGUGAAAACACUUACCUAAUGAAAAGGGUGGCCAUCAACAGUAUCACAUCAAAUGGCUAAAAUAAAUAACAGUAUCAACAAUACAACUGGAAAAACAGUGGAAAGGUAUGUUAUAGCACUUAUUAUUUUACAAAUUUUUUAUACAUAAAAUUAGUAUGAGAUUGCCAAUAAUAACAAUAAAGUUGCUUUUCUUGUGGAUGCAUCAGGUGUGCAAUAGAACAAUUUGGUGGGCUAUCAAAGUCUAGGCCUAUACUCUCACAGGUCAACCCUGGAUUACUAUAAAGAUCAAAUUCAUCAGAAAAGCAAAGUUCGUGUGCGUGAACCGUGAAGGCCAGUGAAGGCAAAAUAUAAAGAUUUUACACAAGGAAGCCUAUAAUGAGUAAAAUUCGAUUUGUUAUGAACCAAUCUAUGUAGCCCAAAAAUUGUUAAACCACAAUCCUAAAGUACAAAAAUUGUUAUGAACCAAUCAUGUACAGAAAGCAAAUGAUUCCUGUAGUUCCAAUCUUUUCAUAGGUGACGUGAAUAUUCAAAUGAUUCCUGUCUAUAUUUAAAAAAAUGGUAAUUGUAGGGCUGUUCAUGGGCUUUAAAGCAAAUGCACAAGUUAUCAACAUUACACGGAUGAAAUAAAGGACAUUGAUGUUUAUAGAAUGAUUAUAAAUUUUGUCUUAAAGCAUACUUCAAGGUUCAAGAGCAACCACUAUAAGCAUUCAAAAAUAUCUGAUUGCAUGAUUUAUCAGCAUGAGGGGACGGAUCUAUUGAUAAUAUAUUUAGUAGAAUAAACCACCAGGAAGCAGUAAAGCCUGACCAUGGGUCAAACUGAACUGGGUCAUCCAUAUUGAUUUUGGACAAUAUUAAAUAUUAUACUAGUGAGAGAUGGGCAGUGUGUUGGACCUCUCAUUAAAAAAUACUAUGUAAGGAAGGGAAACCAAAACUGACUUGGCAGUUUUUGUAUCAAUUUCUGUGUCAGUAAGUAACUAUUUAUGAGCAGUUACUUUCUAGUGUGUAUGUGUGUGUGUAUUUUCUGUUGUACUAGGAAUAAAUACGGAAAAGUCAGAACAGAACAUAGUUGGUUAUCCUAGACUAUUGUGUGAUUAUUUGGAAAAGGAGAGACACAAGGCUCUCAAACCCUUGUGGAAACUGUGACUGUGUUAGCUUGUCCUGUGUAAUUUCAAUUUUGUGCAAGUGUGUUUAACUGUGUACUACUGUCUCUGAUUUGGGAACUCUUCCCCAGAGAAUAAUUCAAUAAAUUAAUUGUUAUUUAGUUAUGAAUCCUAUUUUUGUACCAGUUGCUAUCAGUGUUUCGAUAUCUGAGAAAACUCUCAUCAUAAGCCCUCUGCUUCAUCUUUAAAGAAGAUUUUUACCAAACCACAGUUCACUGGCCCUCCUCUCCUGCCUACCAUCUUAAGUGUUCCAUUUGCUAAAAGCCAUGUUACAAGAAAAUGAAAUGAUAGAAAGCAGAACUAGGGGAGUAAUUACAGAUUUGGGUAAAUCUAAAACAUCGCUGCAAGUUACAAGGGUCUAUUUGUUUUUAAAAAAUGAUUUCGGGUUCCUUUGAUUAAGCUUUAAAAAAAUGAUUUUGUUUUGAAAAAAUCUAGAUAUUCAUUUAUGGAGANNNNNNNNNNNNNNNNNNNNNNNNNNNNNNNNNNNNNNNNNNNNNNNAAACUAAAGCUAAUUUACGUUUGUUUACUGUCUAAAAAAUCUUCUUUUUUUUUUUAAAAUGGGAAGCUCCUACACUUAGGUUCCUUAAUUUUAAAAAAAAAAAUAGAUUCUUGAAAAGCUAUUAGGAUUAACUUUUCAUUUUGGGGUUAAAAAUGAUUUUUUUUACAGAAUGAUUUUCUAAAAAAUCUAUAACAAACAUUAUCAAAAUGAUAAAAUAGAUUUUUUGUUAAAAAAAUCCAAAACAAACAGACCCUUCAUUUUCUGUGUUGGCAUUUAUUUGCAAAACAGACACCUUUUUAACUUUGUUUCCUUUUACCAAAUAUUUGAAAGCAAAAUUGUAAAUAAAAGUGAAAAUUGUUUUCACUGCCUCCUUCACAAAUACUUUAAAACAACAAAGCAGGAGAAAACAGAGUGGUAGUUUUGUGAAUAAAAGUGACAAUAGGAAAUGUUUCUUUUCUUAACUAAGACACCUCAGGUUUAAACCACAACCGUGUAAAUGUUAUUUCAUUCUCUUCUCAAUUAGGAUAUAGGUUUAUAUGGUAGUUAGUUACUAGUUAGCUAAAUUUCUGGGCUGAGACUCAACUUGUCAGCUUGUAAUUAAAUACAAUCUAUAAGAGAAUUCUCCAGCUGGAGAACACAAUUUUUGGCUUACAUUACAUUUCUCUGAAUUUGCAAAUAAAGUAUCUAGAAGGCUUGUAGAACUCUUUUUUCCAACAAUCAAGAAGUAUGCCUCUAUACACCAGUUUAAUAAGUUUCAUUUUUAGUUGACAGAAAACCAAAUCCCAAAACAAACCCAACAUUUGCAUAACCAUAUAAUGAUUUUGUUAUACACUAGGUGUUGCCUAUAAAGCCCACUGUGUUGUACCCAUAUCUGAUAUCAUACGUGGAUAAUACUCCUAGUAUAUGUAUCCGUAAAACAAAACAAGAUAAAAACAAAGAACUAUGGAAACUGCUCCUGAGAGAUAUUCAAAGCUCCUCUAAUGUAAAAAACUUAUCCUACAAGAUAAUCUAAAAUGAUAUUAACAUGUUGUAAGAUAUAUUCCAAUCAUUUAACACUCCAGCUCAAGUUUCAUAAGUUUGUUAUAUUACAAAAGAGAAAAAUAACCAAAUAAUAUAAUUUACAUUGAAUUGGGAAGUUGGGACUAAAUCACAAUUGGGACAGGAUAACUUGUGUCUUAAGACAAAAUCAAUGCCAAACUACAACUGAGACAAAACCAGUGCCAAACCACAACCGAGACAAAACAAAUGCCAAACCACAACUGAGACGAAGAAACCAAUGUUUUCAAAGAAACACAUCAAACCAUAGGUCAGAUCAGAGAAGCAAGGGUAGAUCAUAUAAUGUGGAGGUGCCGCUGGAGUUGCUAAUAGUGGAAAAAACCAAAUUCUAAUUAGACCCACAGGACAAAAGUGGCCUUGAUAAAACUAAGAAAAUCCCACAAACCAAACUUGACCAGCAACGUGGUGAACAGGCAGUAAGAAGGUUACACGCGGCCUUCAAAUGCCGACUGAAACAAAAAGCUUGACGGCUGAAAUGUAAAGGCAAUGUCCUACCUCAGUUAUACUAGUUGAAGUUCUAGGGUAUUGGAUAAGCAGAAAGAGAAAAAUUAAAGUGUGCAUUUGAUCUGCUAAAAAUGAGGGAUGGGACAAAUUCAGUUGUACAAUGUUUGAUUUUAAAACUAUUUAUGGGACUAGACAAAUUGGGGGUAAGGGACUGGACAAAAAUAUUAAUGUGCCUCACUAAACCACAAGACAAUUUUUUGUCCCAGAUAUAAGUUGUUUAAAACAACAAAAUAAUCUUUUGUCCACAUAAACAUCAUACAAGACAAGAAGUUGUUCAAUACCUUAAAACUUUGUCAUGUAUUGUUUUGUCCUAUGUAGUACUUAUCUUUUACAAAUCAAACGGGCCUAAGACUUUGUAUUACGAAUAUGGUUUAGAAUGAUUAUUAUUAUUAUUAUUUGAUACAAAAAGACUAAACAUUAACCUUUUUUAUAGGGAAACAAAUCAUGAUAAAGCAAAGAAAUAUAAAACUAAUCUUAAGAGAUAUUCUAAGAUAAGAAACUAAUCCUACAAGAUAAUCUAAGAUACUCUAGGAUAAUAUCAAGAUAUUAUAAGAUAAUUUCCAAUCUUCUGACACUUGGAACGAUAAAACUAUAUUGAUAGUUUUUUUUUUUUUUGAAUUACUAUAUUGAUAUUGUUAAGAGUACCAACAUUGGAUGAGAUAAGCCUUGAACAUGGAUUUAUAUGUAGAGGCAGUCCUCUCCUUACAAGCCGGUUUUGUAGAGUUGAGUUAGGCCCAACUCAAAAUCCAUUGGGCCACCUUCUAUUAGGUUUCCUCUAUCGGACCACCCACCAUUUAUAUCCAUGCACCAAGCUCAAUAGUGUUGGACGCGAGGGGGUAUGUUAAGAGUCCCAAAUUGGAUGAGAUAAGGCAUGGACAUCAGGACAUAGGUUUAUAAGUAAAGGCAGUCCUCACCUUACAAGCCGGUUUUUUAGGGUUGGGUUAGGCCCAACGCAAAUUCUACGAGAUAUUAAUGUAAAUGAUAUAUUGGAUGUUAUUUCAAAUGUCAGGAUAAUCCUUAUUAAUACUUGCACAAAACUUUAUUUUCAUUACAUAAGUAUGAGGAUAUAUGGAAAACAGUUAUAUCUAAAUUGUCUAAAUUACUCUAAGAUACACCUUCGAUAUUAUGAGAUAUUGUUCAUGUAUUCUAAUAAUGCAAUUAACUGCAUAGUUAUAGGACCUAAAAUGAUAUAUGAGAUUCAAAGUAGGACGACAACUAAUCAACAAAAAAGUCAGCUCGCGUAGAGAUGAUAAUGUUAAAUUGGUUGAGCAGUGUCACAAAGCCAAGAAAAAUCAAGAAUACAAUAAUGAGAAAAAAAAAUGGGGUAUUCAUGUUUUUCUUUAUAAACUCGUGAAGCGUACGUAGACUGAAUUAGUAAACUCGUAAGAGUUUGAAGGAUGACUCUUCCUGAUUCUAACAUGAAACAAGAUUGAAAGUGAGAAAACUCAUUUUUCUUACAUAGAAUUGUAGAAUUGAGUUGACUUGAUAGAUUGACAACCUUGGUUAUGUCAACAUAAAGCUUAUCAGGCGGCCAAGAGGCAUCUAUCAUUUUUCUAGCUCUACAAGAUCCCUAAUAUUUGUGUUAUAAUCAAAUGACCCCUUUUUAAUUAUGUUGUUAUUUUCUUUCAGUAAACUUAACUCUCCAACUACCUAGUGAGAUUAUGCAUGAUUACAUUUGAAAACAGGUAAUCAACCUUCCUUUCUCUUUCAUGAGACAGUUAAAGAUAAUGCCAUACCUCUAAUAGAUCAUAAAAUGAAAGACAUGUGGAUGUAAGAUUCUUGUUAUUAUUGCAGCUGCAUAGCUAAUCUGAAGACAAUACUCCAGUUCAACGUGCAUCUUUUCUGGAUACAAAUAAGGGGGAGAUGUCAUGAUUAUUUAUCAAUGAAUAGAAAAUGACUAUAUAUUAAAAUUAUAGGAAUGCAUGUUUACAAUAACUUGGUAGAUAAUGAUAGGUAAAUUAAUUGUGAACUUGUCUUACAAACAACUAUGCUUGGUAGAAAAAUGACAAAGUAGACUUAGUUUUUAUUUUUGAAUUCCUCGUGUGCUUGGUAGCGUGUCUCUUCAUAUUAAAUUCUUAGAAAAAUAUUUCAUAUCCAAUCAUUAAUCAUGGGAAGCUUGUUUAGCAAUACAUUGGAAACAUGACUCCGUUUAAACUUUUGCUACAAACAACAACCAUAAUUUCAAUGAAACAUUAGCAUUUUUUAUCAAGAAAUUACGCAAAUUUUCUUCCAAUACAAAAUCAUAUUUUCCUCUCUUUUAUAGGACUAAUUAUAGUGUGACUAGUAAGGAAGACGGAUCUUGAAAGUUAAAUGAGUUGCAGCUGACAAGAUUUGGUUGAAGAUUCCCGAACCUUCUCCUCUUUAUCUUGAAAGCACUAAAUUGGAUAUAUUGACAUCAUUUUUCAGUAACUAAACUAGCACUUAAAUUAAUUCAAGAUUAUGACCUAAUUAUAUCUUUUUGAAAAUAGGGAUGUUUGCGUAAAUAACUCAAUUCAGCACUUAUUUGAUAAACACUUAUCAUACAAGUUGUUUUCACAAUCAAAGGUAAACCAAGGGUAAACUCUACAUAAACUGUGUAUUCUAUAAGUUAUCUUAGAAAAAUUAUAAAAAUAAAGAGAAAAACAUGUCAUGAGCAUAUUAUAAGCUCGUCCAAAAACUGACACAAGUGUUUAUGUCUUACAAUAAUUCCAAAUAAGCUCUUCUAAAGUUCCCCUUAAAACUCUAAGCUAAGUCCACUUUAUUUUUUAAGUGACUAAAGUCCACCUUAAUUGUCUACAUAUACUACAUUAUACAAAAUCUUAUAAACCAAACUGUAAAUAGAAAGGAAAUGAAAGAAAAUUAUCAUAAAACCAGUGCCCUUGUUAAAAUUGUAGAGAUAUAUGCAUGUGAUGAAAAUUCAUUCAUUCAUCCAAUACUCCCUACAUAGUACUCCUUCUAGUCUAAUAUAUAAGCAAACAUAUAUAAGUAAAGAUUCUUUUUUUUAUGUUCAUUGAAUAACUGAUGUAUCUAUCUGGUCUAUAUAUGACCAGAUACAUUGGUUAUUCAACGAACCUGAAAAUAAAUAUUUGCUUAUAUAUGAGACCGGAAGGAGUAAACCUAAUUACAUUAAUACUCUCACAGUUAUUAUUUGUAACUAACUACAUUAGCACACUAAUGCAAACACAAUUAUAAGGUCACCAAGGCAUUAAUGGAUCGAAAAUUGUGAGAAAAAAAAUAACGCACUAUUACUUGAUUAUGACAAUAGAAUUUCGAGAACGAUUUCAGUAUUUGACAUGCAAAGAUGAAGAUAAGGAAAAUAUAUAUUAAAAUAAUGAGUUAGUAUAAAUAGAAGGAAAAAAAUGAAAACCUAGAGAGAUUUUUGUGGAUUGAAGGCCGGAAUUUUGAUGAGAAGGCGGCGGAAUGAGUGAACCACCGUGAAGAUAGGGCAUGACGGGGAGAAUGAAGAAGAGAAGAAACGAAUCGGUCGGAGUGAGUGACGUUGGGAUGCGAGCGAGAAGAAUGUGUUUGGCUUUUGGUAAGCAAAGGGAACGAACGAAAGGGUUCGGUUCGUUUCUAACCAAUCACAAGACGAAGAUCCUCCGCGGUGUCCAACUACCAACUGAAUUCUCAAUUUUAUUUUCAAUAAAUAAUAAAUGGGUUUCAACUCCGAAACAUUCAUACCAUCUGAAUUAAGUUUACAGAACGACUUGUUUUAAGUUUAUGUGAAUUUAUCUAUUACUAAUAUAUUAAAAUUAGGGUUAUGUUAACUUGUGUCCUAAGGAC